This 75-nucleotide transfer RNA is filed under the name Salipiger sp. PrR003. RNAcentral describes it as "Yangia sp. PrR003 tRNA-Gly". It matches the Rfam family "tRNA". From Rfam's summary of the family: Transfer RNA (tRNA) molecules are approximately 80 nucleotides in length. Lineage: Bacteria; Pseudomonadati; Pseudomonadota; Alphaproteobacteria; Rhodobacterales; Roseobacteraceae. The record is from RNAcentral.
GCGGAAAUAGCUCAGAGGGAGAGCAUCUGCUUGCCAAGCAGAAGGUCGCGGGUUCGAUCCCCGUUUUCCGCUCCA